AUUGAACGCUGGCGGAAUGCUUUACACAUGCAAGUCGAACGGCAGCACGGGGGCAACCCUGGUGGCGAGUGGCGAACGGGUGAGUAAUACAUCGGAACGUGCCCGGUCGUGGGGGAUAACGUAGCGAAAGUUACGCUAAUACCGCAUACGAUCUGAGGAUGAAAGCGGGGGUCCUUCGGGCCUCGCGCGAUCGGAGCGGCCGAUGUCAGAUUAGGUAGUUGGUGGGGUAAAGGCCUACCAAGCCGACGAUCUGUAGCUGGUCUGAGAGGACGACCAGCCACACUGGGACUGAGACACGGCCCAGACUCCUACGGGAGGCAGCAGUGGGGAAUUUUGGACAAUGGGCGCAAGCCUGAUCCAGCCAUUCCGCGUGCAGGACGAAGGCCUUCGGGUUGUAAACUGCUUUUGUAUGGAACGAAAAGGCUCUGGCUAAUACCUGGGGCUCAUGACGGUACCGUAAGAAUAAGCACCGGCUAACUACGUG
RNAcentral lists this ribosomal RNA (484 nucleotides) under uncultured bacterium. RNAcentral describes it as "partial 16S ribosomal RNA". It matches the Rfam family "Bacterial small subunit ribosomal RNA", at positions 30 to 507 of the family's 1533-position model. The record is from RNAcentral.